RNAcentral lists this ribosomal RNA (912 nucleotides) under Lacticaseibacillus casei. RNAcentral describes it as "bacterial SSU rRNA". It matches the Rfam family "Bacterial small subunit ribosomal RNA", at positions 54 to 930 of the family's 1533-position model. The record is from RNAcentral. Lineage: Bacteria; Bacillati; Bacillota; Bacilli; Lactobacillales; Lactobacillaceae.
AAUGCAGUCGAACGAGUUCUCGUUGAUGAUCGGUGCUUGCACCGAGAUUCAACAUGGAACGAGUGGCGGACGGGUGAGUAACACGUGGGUAACCUGCCCUUAAGUGGGGGAUAACAUUUGGAAACAGAUGCUAAUACCGCAUAGAUCCAAGAACCGCAUGGUUCUUGGCUGAAAGAUGGCGUAAGCUAUCGCUUUUGGAUGGACCCGCGGCGUAUUAGCUAGUUGGUGAGGUAAUGGCUCACCAAGGCGAUGAUACGUAGCCGAACUGAGAGGUUGAUCGGCCACAUUGGGACUGAGACACGGCCCAAACUCCUACGGGAGGCAGCAGUAGGGAAUCUUCCACAAUGGACGCAAGUCUGAUGGAGCAACGCCGCGUGAGUGAAGAAGGCUUUCGGGUCGUAAAACUCUGUUGUUGGAGAAGAAUGGUCGGCAGAGUAACUGUUGUCGGCGUGACGGUAUCCAACCAGAAAGCCACGGCUAACUACGUGCCAGCAGCCGCGGUAAUACGUAGGUGGCAAGCGUUAUCCGGAUUUAUUGGGCGUAAAGCGAGCGCAGGCGGUUUUUUAAGUCUGAUGUGAAAGCCCUCGGCUUAACCGAGGAAGCGCAUCGGAAACUGGGAAACUUGAGUGCAGAAGAGGACAGUGGAACUCCAUGUGUAGCGGUGAAAUGCGUAGAUAUAUGGAAGAACACCAGUGGCGAAGGCGGCUGUCUGGUCUGUAACUGACGCUGAGGCUCGAAAGCAUGGGUAGCGAACAGGAUUAGAUACCCUGGUAGUCCAUGCCGUAAACGAUGAAUGCUAGGUGUUGGAGGGUUUCCGCCCUUCAGUGCCGCAGCUAACGCAUUAAGCAUUCCGCCUGGGGAGUACGACCGCAAGGUUGAAACUCAAAGGAAUUGACGGGGGCCCGCACAAGC